UUGGUGCAUGACUGUAGAACUUUAAGCAAUGAUGAAAAUGCUCUAUAUCUACACUGUCCAAUAUGGUUCUGCUUGAAUUCUUGCCCUGGCUCUUGGUGAAGGAUCGGCCUGCUGGAUCUGAGUCAUCCACCUAUAAGAGGGACAACACCACACAUUGGUCACUGCUCUCAAGCCCCUGGAAUACCACCCCACUUGGCUUCUCCUGGUAACAGUGGCUGCCUUUGCUUGCCUGUCUCCAACUCCUCCCAAGAGCAUUGCUGACUAUACCACCCACAUAAACAAAAACUUUUUGGGAGUCCUCCAGAAUUUUUAAGAGUUAUCUAAACUAUUGCCUUUAAUGACCAGGAACUCCAAUUUGAGAAGUGUUACCCUACGUUAAGCCAACAGCAGCCUGGCUCCUUCAUGCUGUGCAGUAUGGGACAGAGCUGGGUCCUUGUUGUCAUCAGCCAGACAAGCACACAUUAAAGCCCACCUUAGCCGUCGGCAUUAGAGCUUUAAAAGCAGCUCCAUCCUACCAUGCUGUCACUCUGCUCAAUCACGUGAUCUUAACG
RNAcentral lists this long non-coding RNA (551 nucleotides) under Pan troglodytes (chimpanzee). RNAcentral's name for it is "lincRNA". Lineage: Eukaryota; Metazoa; Chordata; Mammalia; Primates; Hominidae. The record is from RNAcentral.